UCUCCGUAGGUGAACCUGCGGAGGGAUCAUUACUGAGUGAGGGCCCUCGUGGUCCGACCUCCAACCCAUUGUUGUCCGACUCUGUUGCCUCGGGGGCGACCCGGCGCUUCGGCGCCAGGGGGUCCCCGCUGGUCCACACAACUCUGCAUCUUUGCGUCUGAGUCUUAUAUAUGAAUUAAAUCAAAACUUUCAACAACGGAUCUCUUGGUUCUGGCAUCGAUGAAGAACGCAGC
Molecule: unclassified non-coding RNA, 233 nt
Filed under: uncultured fungus
Lineage: Eukaryota; Fungi
Description: sequence contains ITS1, 5.8S rRNA gene
Rfam family: 5.8S ribosomal RNA (bases 185-233)
Source: RNAcentral